GGUAUUGAAUAAUUAUUUCCCGAAUUAGGAAGAUCUAAGAAUAUAUAAAUUUUAGUGUAAAAUAACUGUUUAUGAUAUAUUCUUAGAAGUGAAAUUUUAAUCGGUUCUUAAUAUAUCUGGUUUUUUAAGAAAUUAAUUUAAUUAAGGCGAACAUGAGAAUUAUAAUUAAUCAUAAUUGGGUUCUUUGUUUAGUUAAUAUUUUUGGGGAUAAGCUUGAAGGUAGAGGUUUUAUAAUUAUUAUUAUUUUUUUAGGUUAAUAGGAUUAGAAGUGUUUAUUUUUAAUAGUAGGUUAUAUUUAUCCUAGGAUUAGAUUUAUUUUUUUUUGUUUAAGUUAUUUAUUAAAUUAAGUACAUUAAUUGUUAGUGUAAUGUAAUAAUGAUUAAAUUAGUAUAUAUUUAUGUUGUUAUAAUUGGAUAUGGAAGGUUAGGCUAAGGAACUCGGCAAAUAAUCUUUUUGCCUGUUUAUUAAAAACAUGUCCUUUUGAGUUAAUUUAAGGUCUAACCUGCCCAAUGAGGAGUUUAAUGGCCGCGGUAUUUUGACCGUGCAAAGGUAGCAUAAUCAUUAGUUUUUUAAUUGGAGGCUGGAAUGAAGGGUUGGACAAGAAAGAUACUGUCUACGGUUUAAUUUAUUUAGAAUUUUAUUUUUUAGUAAGAAAGCUUAAAUGGAAAUGAGGGACGAGAAGACCCUAUAGAAUUUUAUAGAUUUUAAUUUAAAGGUUUGUUGGUAGGAGUUUAUUUUUAUAUUAUGAUUUAUUUUGUUGGGGUGACGGAAAAAUUUUGUAAACUUUUUUUUUUAUUAUAACAUGAGUAUAUGAGUGUUUGAUCCACUAAGUGAUUAUAAGAUUAAAUUACCUUAGGGAUAACAGCGUAAUUAAUUUGGGGAGUUCAUAUCUAUAAAUUAGUUUGCGACCUCGAUGUUGGAUUAAAAUUGGCUUUAGGUGCAGAAACUUAGGGGCUAAGUCUGUUCGA
RNAcentral lists this ribosomal RNA (968 nucleotides) under Figulus binodulus. RNAcentral describes it as "partial 16S ribosomal RNA". The stretch from base 424 to 624 matches the Rfam family "Archaeal large subunit ribosomal RNA", at positions 1797 to 2106 of the family's 2987-position model. The record is from RNAcentral. Lineage: Eukaryota; Metazoa; Arthropoda; Insecta; Coleoptera; Lucanidae.